UCAAGUAUUGAUUAGAAUUAGAUCAAUUAAAUUUAAUGAUCAUAUAAUUAUUGUUGAUCAAAUCAAUUAAAUCUCAUAUGUACAAUCGAUUAACCUAAGGACCUAAUUUGAUUCGAUAGUUUGAGCAUGAUUCACUUGAGUUAAUCUUUUUGGACCAAUUGACCUAUUGGUGUCUAAGGUAAGUAAUUAUGAGGUAGUUAUUUAAUUGAUUUCAUUAGCUUAUCUGACUAAUUUAUUGAUAUCUAAGGAAAAC
Molecule: long non-coding RNA, 253 nt
Filed under: Elaeis guineensis (African oil palm)
Lineage: Eukaryota; Viridiplantae; Streptophyta; Magnoliopsida; Arecales; Arecaceae
Description: long non-coding RNA (EGUI_LNC025385)
Source: RNAcentral